Molecule: ribosomal RNA, 467 nt
Filed under: uncultured bacterium
Lineage: Bacteria
Description: partial 16S ribosomal RNA
Rfam family: Bacterial small subunit ribosomal RNA
Source: RNAcentral
GACGAACGCUGGCGGCGUGCUUAACACAUGCAAGUCGAACGGAAAGGCCCUGCUUUUGUGGGGUGCUCGAGUGGCGAACGGGUGAGUAACACGUGAGUAACCUGCCCUUGACUUUGGGAUAACUUCAGGAAACUGGGGCUAAUACCGGAUAGGAGCUCCUGCUGCAUGGUGGGGGUUGGAAAGUUUCGGCGGUUGGGGAUGGACUCGCGGCUUAUCAGCUUGUUGGUGGGGUAGUGGCUACCAAGGCUUUGACGGGUAGCCGGCCUGAGGGGGUGACCGGCCACAUUGGGACUGAGAUACGGCCCAGACUCCUACGGGAGGCAGCAGUGGGGAAUAUUGCACAAUGGGCGGAAGCCUGAUGCAGCAACGCCGCGUGCGGGAUGACGGCCUUCGGGUUGUAAACCGCUUUCGCCUGUGACGAAGCGUGAGUGACGGUAAUGGGUAAAGAAGCACCGGCUAACUACGUG